RNAcentral lists this long non-coding RNA (3977 nucleotides) under Homo sapiens (human). RNAcentral describes it as "novel transcript". The record is from RNAcentral. Lineage: Eukaryota; Metazoa; Chordata; Mammalia; Primates; Hominidae.
GGGGUCACAGGGAAGAGAAGGGCUCUCCUCAAGCGGGUGGAAGGAGGGAGGCCUCCCGAGGGAAUGAGACUCCAGGCCACUCCCCCGCAGCAAGGCAGGAUCACCUGCGUCGCGGAGAGCAGUUAGAGGUCCCUGGAGUGGAAAAGGGCAGUGGGACCUGGUAGCUUGGGUUCCCUGCAACUUGGGGUUCGACCUCCAGGCAAUGAAGUAGGGAUGGUCCUGCAAGUCAAGAUUCCAGUAGCAAGAGUGCAUCAGAUCUCUGUAAGGAAAAUAACUAACAUUGCUCAGUUCCCUGUAGAGUUGCAGGGCGCUUUGACGUUAUCUCCCUUGGUUCUCCAUCAGGUCGUAGUGGACUAAUUUUACAGGCGAAGUUAAGUGACUUACCCAAAACCUCACAGCUAAUAAACGGCAGAGCCGGCACCCAGCUGUACUGGCUUCCAGCGCAUCCCAUUAUCUCCAUAAAUCCCCCUGAUUCAACUAAUAUUAGACGCCCCACAGGUAAGAUGCUUCAGAGUUAGAGGGGAGUUGAAGAUACCUUUGCCUUCAAAGAAGUAAGGAAUGAAACAAAGAUAAAACAGACAAUAAAAGACAAACCAUGAUAGGUGCCACGUGAAAAGUGGCAGAGUACUGCCGGGAAUCAAAGAACCGUGUAUAUCUGUCUUGGGGAUAAGGAAAGAAACGCAGCAUGAAGGAGUAGGCAUUUGGGAUUGACCUUGAAGGAGACAGGGAGAGUUUUACAGCAAGAAGGGAUAGCAUGAGAAUAUAUAUGAAGGCGAAUCAGUGAAAGUUGUGUUGGGGAAAGAGCAAAGACUCCAGGUAUGUUGAGAGGUAGAAAAGACAAAGGAGUAUGGGGCCUAAGAUACCAAAUGGAUGAAUUUAUAUUUAAUUCAGUAUUUUGAGUUUUUAUGGUUCAGAAGUUUGGGGGAAGAAAAGGAAGGUUUUUUUUUUCUUUAUGCUAGUGAUUUAUCUGUGAAGGGAAGCAGAAAUCAGAGGUGGAAAAACUGACAGAUCUACUGUAGGCCAGGUAAAAGGUAAUGAUGAGUCUGACCUAAAGGGACAGCCAGGGGAAUUUAAAGAGCAUAGUUGAGAGAUGAUGUGCAUGCAGAAUCUAUAGAAUUUGCUAACUGAUUGAUUAAUUGUGGGUAGGAAGAGAGAAAUCAAAGAAAGUGGAGGUUUUGAGUUUCUAGAUAAUUGCAAGAGAGAAAAGAGACAAUUACAAAGGAAAGGAGAAGGAGCUACUUCUUGAGAGAAGAUCAGUUUAGAUUUAGACAUUUUAAGAAUUCAAAGGGUUGUCAAGACAGCCAGACGGACAUGGACACUAAUAAGUUAGAAAUAAAGGUUUUGUAAUAUGGGAAAGAGGACUGAGCUAGAAAAUAGACUCAUAGAUAAUCAGCCUAGGAGUGAUAUUGCUGUGAGAUAAAAGAAGAAAACAAAGUCAGAAUCUUGGAAAACACCCUCUUCAGAGUCUCGCUGCUCAAAACGUGGUCAGUGGCCCAGCAGCACUGACAUGAGGACCUUAGUUGGAAACUCAGAAUCUCAGGCUCCACCCCAGACCUGCUGAACCAGCAUCUUCAACUUAACAAGAACCCGAAGAGAUUUGUGCCACAUCAAAAAGUUUGAGAAGCUCUGAUCUAGCUGGACCCUGGACACGGUGACUCUGAUUCAAUUAUGCAGAUGACCACAAGCCUCUGGGGUUGGCAGAGCCACAAGAAAGAAGGUGCCUGGAUGAAGGAGAGCUACCCACUGACCUGGACACCCAAUUAUUCAUCUGUCUUAGAGCUAUUGGAAUCCUGGAUCAUUGUGGGAAAUGAAAAGCAUCUUGCAUGUGAAUAACUCACAACUUUAAUUCAUGGAACAAAUUGAGAAAUAGUCUUUUGGGGGUUUGGUACUCCCUGGAAACAUAAGAGUGCUUUGGGCACCUCUGGUGCCUUUCCAUGCCUGCCUUCUCUGCUGUUCUUGCUACUAGUGAAUUCUAAAUCAUGGCCAAGUGAUGCCAGCACUGGAUAAUAUUGGCUCUGCCCCAUAUCUCGAGGGAAAACUCUGGGACUUGGCAUUAUAUGUGUGGGAAUCUGGCCUUGGUUGGCACUCCCAGCAUGAUAGCAGGGUUCUGCUGUCUGAAUGUACUCUGGGGUGUGCGCCACAAUUUCUGUCAUCGAAAUGGAGAUGAGAGAAUAUGCCCUUGGUGGGGACACCCCACUGGAAUUAGAGUGAAGAGAUCAAAGCUAGAGGUUCUUAAAUCAAAGAAUGUCUAAUAGCAAAGACAAAAACUUGCUUAAGAGAAAUGCAUACAGGUACUAGACCUAAUAUGAUGAAAAAUGCUAACUUCAACAUAUUGAUGCAUGCUUAGUAUACUUUUAGUCCUGCAAAGACAAAAGUUUUUUGUUUGUUUUUUUUUGAGACGGAGUCUCGCUCUGUCGCCCAGGUUGGAGUGCAGUGGUGUGAUCUCGGCUUACUGCAAGCUCUGCCUCCUGGGUUCACACCAUUCUCCUGCCUCAGCCUCCGGAGUAGCUGGGACUACAGGCGCCCGCCACCACGCCCGGCUAAUUUUUUGUAUUUUUAGUAGAGAUGGGGUUUCACCGUGUUAGCCAGGAUGGUCUCGAUCUCCUGACCUCAGGUGAUCCGCCUGCCUUGGCCUCCCAAAGUGCUGGGAUUACAGGCAUGAGCCACCGCACCUGGCCCAGUCCUGCCAAGACAAAGUUUUAAAACACAGGUUGCACAUUGGCAGCUCUCAAGCCAAAUCUGGCCCAUAGACAUGGUUUGCUUGGCCUAUAAUGUUAGUAAUACUUGACCCAAGAUUUAAAAUUUGAAAAGUUUCAUAUAAAAAUAUAGAUUUACAGCUUUUCUAGAAAAACUAUAAGAGUUAACAGUUUCUGAAUUGCAACAGCAGCUGGAACACCGUUGCCACUGACCAUUUAGAUGACUGCUGCAGUCCCCACGGCUCACUCUGGUUCAGGUAGGGGUUCUAGUUUGUAACCCCUGGUUUAAAACAUAACUGACUCUCUAGUUUUUAAAAUUCUCUCAAAAUCAAAUAACCUGAACUAGCAAAUGAUCUAGAUCCUCGUACAUGGAACUCAUACUAAGUUGACCACAGACAGUGGCUCCCAAACUCUGCAGUACAUCAGAGUCACUGGGAAGCUUUAAAAAAUCCUGCUCCCUAGCUGGGUGCAGUGGUUUAUGCCUGUAGCCCCAGCUACUUGAGAGGCUGAGGUGGGAGGAUUGCUCAAGCCCAGGAGUUUGAGGCUGCAGUGAGCCAUGAAUGUACCACUACACUCCAGCCUGGGCAACAGAGCAAGACCCCAACUCUAAAAAAAAAUCCUGCUCCCCAGGUGACAGUAUCUGGGGGAAGGAGUAAGGCAUCUUAUUUUCAAAAGAUCAUAAGAAAAGAGGCUCAUUGCUGAGGCUCACUCCGGAGCCCACUUGGAUUCUUCACAAGAAAGUUUCCCUCUUCCAGAAUUUUAUAAUUGAGGGAACCGACUAGGGAAAGAUUAAUUUGCCCAAGGUCAAACAACUAGUAAAAGAAGUAAGGAUUCCAACCCAGAUCUUUUGACUCUAUUAUCCUUACAUAUAGUUUUAUAGUGAUUUAAAUUGAUACAAGGAUAGGUUUAAAUACAAGUAGAAUGCAGGUUCAUAUAAAACUGAUUUUAUCCUCAUGUUAGAAAACAUAUACACUGUAACAGAGGGAUGACCAUCAAGUGACCAAGAUAUUUUAGUCAAAAGAUGAAUUUUUCUGCAAUUGGAGAAUGCCAAAAAUAUUCAAAGAAAAUAUAAGUCUUGUAGGCAGUCUUCUAUCAAAACCCACUGAACCGCUGGGCACGGUGGCUCAUGCCUGUAAUUCCAGCACUUUGGGAGGCCAAGGCUGGUGGAUCACCUGAGGUCAGGAGUUUGAGACCAGCCUGGCCGACAUGGUCUCUACUAAAAAUACAAAAAAUUAGCUGGGCCUGGUGGCGGCACCUGUAAUCCCAGCUACUGAGGAGGCU